This 253-nucleotide ribosomal RNA is filed under the name uncultured bacterium. RNAcentral's name for it is "partial 16S ribosomal RNA". It matches the Rfam family "Bacterial small subunit ribosomal RNA", at positions 524 to 776 of the family's 1533-position model. The record is from RNAcentral.
UACGGGGGGAGCAAACGUUGUUCGGAAUCACUGGGCGUAAAGGGCGUGUAGGCGGCUGGAUAAGUGGGAUGUUAAAUCCCCCGGCUCAACCGGGGACCUGCAUCUCAUACUGUUCAGCUCGAGCACAUCAGAGGAGACUGGAAUUCCCGGUGUAGCGGUGAAAUGCGUAGAUAUCUGGAGGAACACCGGUGGCGAAGGCGGCAUCCUGGACCAUUACUGACACUGAAAAGCGAAAGCCAGGGGAGCAAACGGG